Molecule: transfer RNA, 94 nt
Filed under: Melampsora larici-populina 98AG31
Lineage: Eukaryota; Fungi; Basidiomycota; Pucciniomycetes; Pucciniales; Melampsoraceae
Description: tRNA-Pro for anticodon AGG
Rfam family: tRNA
About the family: Transfer RNA (tRNA) molecules are approximately 80 nucleotides in length. Their secondary structure includes four short double-helical elements and three loops (D, anti-codon, and T loops).
Source: RNAcentral
GGUUUGGUGGUCUAGUAGUAUGAUUCACCCUUAGGGUUCCCUAGCAAAGGGAUUCAAUUGGGUGAGGUCCCGGGUUCAAUUCCCGGCCAGACCC